UACGAAGGGGGCUAGCGUUGCUCGGAAUCACUGGGCGUAAAGCGCACGUAGGCGGAUUGUUAAGUCAGGGGUGAAAUCCUGGAGCUCAACUCCAGAACUGCCUUUGAUACUGGCGAUCUUGAGUGCGAGAGAGGUGAGUGGAACUGCGAGUGUAGAGGUGAAAUUCGUAGAUAUUCGCAAGAACACCAGUGGCGAAGGCGGCUCACUGGCCCGGUACUGACGCUGAGGUGCGAAAGCGUGGGGAGCAAACAGG
This 253-nucleotide ribosomal RNA is filed under the name uncultured bacterium. RNAcentral's name for it is "partial 16S ribosomal RNA". It matches the Rfam family "Bacterial small subunit ribosomal RNA", at positions 524 to 776 of the family's 1533-position model. The record is from RNAcentral.